Molecule: ribosomal RNA, 492 nt
Filed under: uncultured bacterium
Lineage: Bacteria
Description: partial 16S ribosomal RNA
Rfam family: Bacterial small subunit ribosomal RNA
Source: RNAcentral
AGUGAACGCUGGCGGUAUGCCUAACACAUGCAAGUCGAACGGCAGCACAGUAAGAGCUUGCUCUUACGGGUGGCGAGUGGCGGACGGGUGAGGAAUACAUCGGAAUCUACUUUUUCGUGGGGGAUUACGUAGGGAAACUUACGCUAAUACCGCAUACGACCUACCGGUGAAAGCAGGGGAUCUUCGGACCUUGCGCGAUUGAAUGAGCCGAUGUCGGAUUAGCUAGUUGGCGGGGUAAAGGCCCACCAAGGCGACGAUCCGUAGCUGGUCUGAGAGGAUGAUCAGCCACACUGGAACUGAGACACGGUCCAGACUCCUACGGGAGGCAGCAGUGGGGAAUAUUGGACAAUGGGCGCAAGCCUGAUCCAGCCAUACCGCGUGGGUGAAGAAGGCCUUCGGGUUGUAAAGCCCUUUUGUUGGGAAAGAAAAGCAGCAGGUUAAUACCCCGCUGUUCUGACGGUACCCAAAGAAUAAGCACCGGCUAACUUCGUG